GGGUUGUGAGGUUAAGCGACUAAGCGUACACGGUGGAUGCCCUGGCAGUCAGAGGCGAUGAAGGGCGUGCUAAUCUGCGAUAAGCGCCGGUAAGGUGAUAUGAACCGUUAUAACCGGCGAUACCCGAAUGGGGAAACCCAGUGUGAUUCGUCACACUAUCAUUAACUGAAUCCAUAGGUUAAUGAGGCGAACCGGGGGAACUGAAACAUCUAAGUACCCCGAGGAAAAGAAAUCAACCGAGAUUCCCCCAGUAGCGGCGAGCGAACGGGGAGGAGCCCAGAGCCUGAAUCAGCAUGUGUGUUAGUGGAAGCGUCUGGAAAGGCGCGCGAUACAGGGUGACAGCCCCGUACACAAAAGCGCAUGUGCUGUGAGCUCGAUGAGUAGGGCGGGACACGUGGUAUCCUGUCUGAAUAUGGGGGGACCAUCCUCCAAGGCUAAAUACUCCUGACUGACCGAUAGUGAACCAGUACCGUGAGGGAAAGGCGAAAAGAACCCCGGCGAGGGGAGUGAAAAAGAACCUGAAACCGUGUACGUACAAGCAGUGGGAGCCCCACCACUAAGCCAGUGGUGAACUCCACAUACGCAUCCUUUGCUGAGGAGACGGUUAACGGAGCGAAAGCGACGUUCAACCGCAAAAGAAGCAGAGGGGGCUUAGUGGUGGGGUGACUGCGUACCUUUUGUAUAAUGGGUCAGCGACUUAUAUUCUGUAGCAAGGUUAACCGAAUAGGGGAGCCGGAGGGAAACCGAGUCUUAACCGGGCGUUAAGUUGCAGGGUAUAGACCCGAAACCCGGUGAUCUAGCCAUGGGCAGGUUGAAGGUUGGGUAACACUAACUGGAGGACCGAACCGACUAAUGUUGAAAAAUUAGCGGAUGACCUGUGGCUGGGGGUGAAAGGCCAAUCAAACCGGGAGAUAGCUGGUUCUCCCCGAAAGCUAUUUAGGUAGCGCCUCGUGAAUUCAUCUCCGGGGGUAGAGCACUGUUUCGGCUAGGGGGCCAUCCCGGCUUACCAACCCGAUGCAAACUGCGAAUACCGGAGAAUGUUAUCACGGGAGACACACGGCGGGUGCUAACGUCCGUCGUGAAGAGGGAAACAACCCAGACCGCCAGCUAAGGUCCCAAAGUCAUGGUUAAGUGGGAAACGAUGUGGGAAGGCCCAGACAGCCAGGAUGUUGGCUUAGAAGCAGCCAUCAUUUAAAGAAAGCGUAAUAGCUCACUGGUCGAGUCGGCCUGCGCGGAAGAUGUAACGGGGCUAAACCAUGCACCGAAGCUGCGGCAGCGACGCUGAUGCGUUGUUGGGUAGGGGAGCGUUCUGUAAGCCUGUGAAGGUGGCCUGUGAGGGUUGCUGGAGGUAUCAGAAGUGCGAAUGCUGACAUAAGUAACGAUAAAGCGGGUGAAAAGCCCGCUCGCCGGAAGACCAAGGGUUCCUGUCCAACGUUAAUCGGGGCAGGGUGAGUCGACCCCUAAGGCGAGGCCGAAAGGCGUAGUCGAUGGGAAACGGGUUAAUAUUCCCGUACUUGGUGUUACUGCGAAGGGGGGACGGAGAAGGCUAUGUUGGCCGGGCGACGGUUGUCCCGGUUUAAGCGUGUAGGUGUGUGUUCCAGGUAAAUCCGGUUCACUUUAACACUGAGGCGUGACGACGAGGCACUACGGUGCUGAAGCAACAAAUGCCCUGCUUCCAGGAAAAGCCUCUAAGCAUCAGGUAACAUCAAAUCGUACCCCAAACCGACACAGGUGGUCAGGUAGAGAAUACCAAGGCGCUUGAGAGAACUCGGGUGAAGGAACUAGGCAAAAUGGUGCCGUAACUUCGGGAGAAGGCACGCUGACACGUAGGUGAAGUGAUUUACUCAUGGAGCUGAAGUCAGUCGAAGAUACCAGCUGGCUGCAACUGUUUAUUAAAAACACAGCACUGUGCAAACACGAAAGUGGACGUAUACGGUGUGACGCCUGCCCGGUGCCGGAAGGUUAAUUGAUGGGGUCAGCGCAAGCGAAGCUCCUGAUCGAAGCCCCGGUAAACGGCGGCCGUAACUAUAACGGUCCUAAGGUAGCGAAAUUCCUUGUCGGGUAAGUUCCGACCUGCACGAAUGGCGUAAUGAUGGCCAGGCUGUCUCCACCCGAGACUCAGUGAAAUUGAACUCGCUGUGAAGAUGCAGUGUACCCGCGGCAAGACGGAAAGACCCCGUGAACCUUUACUAUAGCUUGACACUGAACAUUGAGCCUUGAUGUGUAGGAUAGGUGGGAGGCUUUGAAGUGUGGACGCCAGUCUGCAUGGAGCCGACCUUGAAAUACCACCCUUUAAUGUUUGAUGUUCUAACGUGGACCCGUGAUCCGGGUUGCGGACAGUGUCUGGUGGGUAGUUUGACUGGGGCGGUCUCCUCCUAAAGAGUAACGGAGGAGCACGAAGGUUGGCUAAUCCUGGUCGGACAUCAGGAGGUUAGUGCAAUGGCAUAAGCCAGCUUGACUGCGAGCGUGACGGCGCGAGCAGGUGCGAAAGCAGGUCAUAGUGAUCCGGUGGUUCUGAAUGGAAGGGCCAUCGCUCAACGGAUAAAAGGUACUCCGGGGAUAACAGGCUGAUACCGCCCAAGAGUUCAUAUCGACGGCGGUGUUUGGCACCUCGAUGUCGGCUCAUCACAUCCUGGGGCUGAAGUAGGUCCCAAGGGUAUGGCUGUUCGCCAUUUAAAGUGGUACGCGAGCUGGGUUUAGAACGUCGUGAGACAGUUCGGUCCCUAUCUGCCGUGGGCGCUGGAGAACUGAGGGGGGCUGCUCCUAGUACGAGAGGACCGGAGUGGACGCAUCACUGGUGUUCGGGUUGUCAUGCCAAUGGCACUGCCCGGUAGCUAAAUGCGGAAGAGAUAAGUGCUGAAAGCAUCUAAGCACGAAACUUGCCCCGAGAUGAGUUCUCCCUGAGACUUAGAGUCUCCUGAAGGAACGUUGAAGACGACGACGUUGAUAGGCCGGGUGUGUAAGCGCAGCGAUGCGUUGAGCUAACCGGUACUAAUGAACCGUGAGGCUUAACCUUACAACGCCGAAG
This 3028-nucleotide ribosomal RNA is filed under the name Salmonella enterica subsp. enterica serovar Waycross. Its description in RNAcentral is "23S ribosomal RNA". It matches the Rfam family "Bacterial large subunit ribosomal RNA". The record is from RNAcentral. Lineage: Bacteria; Pseudomonadati; Pseudomonadota; Gammaproteobacteria; Enterobacterales; Enterobacteriaceae.